Molecule: long non-coding RNA, 2154 nt
Organism: Bombus huntii
Lineage: Eukaryota; Metazoa; Arthropoda; Insecta; Hymenoptera; Apidae
Exons: 4
Source: RefSeq, a predicted model, not a curated record
GCUUCAAACACCAAAAAAUUAGACUCGGGAAUUUUGAAAGCGUUGAAACGUGCUUCGAGGCUGUCACCAUCCCUCAAACGAUCCAAGCCAGGGAAUACGUAGUUGUCCACUGGACAGCUGUUUUCAACAGAUUACAUUGGUGGAUUAACUCUGGCAUACAUAUACCAGUGAUCAGCUACUCAACCCAUUCGCUACUACGAUUCUCACUUGGCGACCGUAAAAAGAUUCUUAUUUUUGUACUAGCGUUUAUAGUCCAUAAAAUUAUACUUUUGAAAAAUUUCAUUUCGAAAAACAUCGUAGAAAAAUUUGAGUGUAUGUGGGUUAAAUAGAUCAGGUAAAUAGGUCGGACGAUCAGGUAAUUUUGGCCUAAAGAUCAGGACUAAUGGAUUAUGUAAAUUAGGUAGAUUAGAUGGUAUAAGUGAAUUACGUGAAUCAGGUAGAUUUAAAUGAAUCAGAUAUUUGAUGUACAUAUUCCAUACAGAUUAGGAAAGCUGAAGAAUUUAAUUUAAUAAAUUAGAUGAUAAGCUAGAGAAAUAUUGAAACGAAUAUUGAAAAUCGAUAAAGGACAAAUAUAGAUUGUAAUGCAUAAAUCUGUGCAAUCUAUAAAGAAAUGAAAAUAUUGUGUAUCUCUAAUUUCACAAAUCAUAAUGAUUUUAUCUUGAGUGUUUUAUAUGUAUAGUACUUUUGUCGUUUGUCCAUUGAAACCGAAAGCACCCUGUAGAAGUGAACAACAAAGAUCCAUUACGUUGAUUGCUCCUGUUGUUACUAGGCCAAUCAAGUUCUUUUCUUACGCUGGAUGCAAAGGUAGAAUAUCUUUCUUCGUUAUUUUAAUAACGAAGAUUCAAUUUUAUCAUAAUUACUACCAUUUUAUUGAAACACUUAUUAAAAAUUAUUUGAUUCUUUCAAAAACUAUGAGAAGAAUAAAGCUAUGUCGAAUUUUCAGAUCACACCUUACUCAUUAAUAAAUAAAAAUUGUAAUAAUGAAUGCAACGUUUACCCGUAUCUGUCUAUGAGCUGAACGCUUCUUCCAGAGUAAGGAUCUCUUGCUAUGACGUUGGUAGCAAAGAUAUCAGUUACAUAAUUGUACCUAUAAAAAACAUUAACAAAAUAUUACAACAUAAAUCACAGUUCUUUUUAGAUGAAUAAUGUUCGUGUCACAUACCCAUCCUGAGCUUCCAGCCUAAAAGUGAGUGGAUCGCCAACAGCUAUGGUCGUCGUAGGUCUGCCUUGAUACAGGAUCAGUAAACGUACUCGAGAACUUAGGGUAUUUUCUGCUGGAAGGUACUCGAUCGGAAUCGGAGACCCUGAUCUACACAACAUAAAUGCGAAUUUUAUUAGCAUAAUCGAAAUGAAAGUAUAUAUUGAUUUUUUUGAAAUAUAAGAAACAUAAAAAAAGUAGACACUUUAAUAUUUCGUUUCACAUGAAAACAAAAAAAAUUGUUUUUCUUCCUUAUUCAAAAUUAACUUGUCAGCACACCGACAUUAAUAAUCUUCCUUUAAAUUAUCAGUUUCAUCCAUCUCAAGUGAAACAAGUGUCUCUUUGCAACUUUCUACGAGGUAUAUUCAAGAUUUAGAAUCAUAGAAUCAGGAGAUUUUUAACGAUGGAACUCGAACAAUAUUAAAAUAAAUUUAUCGAGUGUGCUUGCACCAGGAUCCAUGUUUAACUGAAUGCAACAUAUUCUGCAUUCUAUACUCGAUGACGGAUCGGACUAUUUAAUUAAGUGCACCGGGUGCAAGGCACGGUCUCUCAAUCGAUAUGACCUGGCAUACCCGGCACCGAUGUAGCCGGAUGUGACGACAGCUUCGCCAGGGCCUCGAAAUAGACAGAAAUCCUGUGGUGUUCUCGAGCAGCGACGAAGUAAUUUUCUUACUCUUUGAGUGCCACAUUCGGGGUAACCCUGGGGACCACUGAUUCGAAGAACAUUUACGGUUCCCCCGUUUCCGCGGAAGAAGCAGCGAUCGUAAUAGCCCCAGUCAAAUAAGAAACAAAAUCCAACACCCUUCCACAUCGUUAGAAACCAGAGGAAUAAUCGACAUCAUCGGAUGUGACCAAACAAAAAGUAAAAAAAAAAAAGAUUUCGGAAAAUCAGACGGUUUAUUUUACUAAACUCAGUCCAGAUGACAAUGUCUAAUACAAUAAUUGAAAUUUGCAUC